Molecule: long non-coding RNA, 2701 nt
Filed under: Sus scrofa (pig)
Lineage: Eukaryota; Metazoa; Chordata; Mammalia; Artiodactyla; Suidae
Description: lncRNA (ENSSSCG00035028064.1)
Source: RNAcentral
CCUUUCCUUCCUUUCUUUUUGGUUUAGAGAAGCCCUUUCAAUAUUUCCUUUAACCUGGGUUUUGUGUUGCUGUAUUCUUUAAGUUUUUGUUUGUUGGGAAAAAUUUUUAUUUCCCCUUCUAUUUUAAAUGAUAUUCUUGCUGGAUAGAGUAUUCUAGGUUGCAUAUUUUUUCCUUUGAGCACUUUAAAUAUCUCUUGCCAUUCCCUCCUGGCCUGUAGUGUUUCUGUAGAGAAAUCAGCUGAUAUUCUUAUGGGGGUUCCCUUGUAGGUAACAUUCUGUUUUUCUCUUGCUGCCUUUAGGAUCCUCUCUUUAUCACUAACUUUUGCCAUUUUUAUUAUGAUGUGUCUUGGUGUGGGUCUGUUUGGGUUCAGUUUGUUUGGGGCCCUCUGUGCUUCUUGUAUCUUGAAUCCAGUAUCCUUUAGAUUUGGGAAGUUUCCAGCGAUAAUUUCUUCAAAUAUAUUUUCCAUUCCCUUAUCUUUUUCUACUCCUUCUGGAAUUCCUAUUAUGCGUAGAUUGGCCCGCUUUAUAUUAUCCCAUAGGUCUCUUAUAUUGCUUUCCAGUUUUUUGAUUCGGUUUUCUGUCUGUUGACCAGAUUGAGUGAUUUCCAUUAUUCUAUCUUCCAUAUCACUGAUUCGUUCUUCUGCAUUAUUCAUUCUGGUUUUUACUGCCCCUAGUUCAGUUUGCAUCUCUGCAAAUGAAUGUUCUAGUUUUUCUUGGCUCCUCCUUAUAUUUUCUAGUUCCUUUCUGAGGGUAUCUGCAUUACUGUUCAUAUCUUCUCUUAAUUCCUUCAGUAUUUUCACUAUUUCUCUUUUGAACUCCAGGUCUGUCUGACUGCAGAGAUCUGUUUCAUUGUUGACUGUUUUAGGUGAGUUCUCCUGUUGGUUUGACUGGGGGUGGUUUCUCAGCUUCUUCAUCUUGCUUGUUGUUUUCUUUCUCCUGAGGGAGUUGUACUCUCCGUUAUCGGGCAGUGUUUGCCUUGUCACUGCCGUGGAAUAUUUCCUGAGGGCUGGCGUUGUUGGUCAAUCUUUUUUGAGGCAGUGUGGCUUUUCUGGAGUGUUGAUGGGGCUAACAGUGUUUCUUUGAAGCAAAGGAGGACUUCCUGAGGGCAGACAGGACUGGGAGGUCCACACCACGAUGGUAGCAGAUUUCACUUGGUCAUGCAGAGCUUGCUCUGGUGUUUUUAGGCUGUGGGGUUCUUGCAGGGGGUUGGCGGUGUUGGGCAGCUGCUCCUCAGGAGUGCAGCACCCCCUGGGGGCUGGAGCAGCUAUCUGGGUCACUGAGAACCUAAGAGGCUCUUCCCUAGGGCAGCCCAACUCAGAAGGACAGCCUGAGAAUGUAGGCGGAUCUUUUCACAGUCUGGCCGAGCUUGUUGCAGCUUUUCUGGGCUGCAGGGGCUCUUCUAGGGGGCUGGUGGUGCUGAGCAGCUAUUCCGUGGGAGUGGGGCACCCCCUAGGGGCUUUGGCGGGUAGCAGGGCCACUGGAAACCCAAGCGGCUCCUCCCCAGGGCAGCCUGACUCAGACUGUCUGAGAUCUUUUCCGGGCUCGGCCAAGCUUGUUGCAGCUUUUCUGGGCUGCAGGGGGUCCUGCCUGGAGCUGUCAGUCCUAUGCAGCUGAUCCACUAGGCACCCCCUGGGGGCUUGGGCGGGUAGCAGGGCUGUCGGAGACCCAAGAGGCUCCUCCCCGGGGCAGCCUGACUCAGAAAAACCAUCUGAGAUCUUUUCCCGGCUCGGCCAGUCUUGUUGCAGCUUUUCUGGGCUGCAGGCCUUUUCUCGGGGGCUGGUGAUGUUUGGUGCUACUCUGCGGAAGUGUAGCCCCUCCAAAGGGCAAGCAGGCCUGUGCAGGGACAGCCCCUGCGGUGGUAGGCUUCAGGCAAUUGUUGAGGCCAGCCCUCCUGGAUGGCAGGCAGCCCCAGGUCUGGUGAGAGCGUAGGGGGUGGCAGGGAUGGGGGGAGGGGAUGCACUGGGAAGCACAGCUUUCAGCUAGCUAGUGGGCCUGUAAGCUUGCUGUGGCAUGGGGGGUAUUCUAUGGGGACCCACCCCUUCUUCUCUCCCCUCCCCAGCACAGGCGCAGACCAGGCUCUUCUCCCAGGUUCCCUCUGAUGCAGCUUUCCCCUCCCCCGCCCCUAGAGUAUUGCUCCCUUCCUCUGCGACAGCUUUGUUUUCUAGUCUCCCAGGCAGUCUCUGCCUCGUAAAAUGGUUUCUAGACCUCCCAAGCAGUUUCCACUCCACCCCGCCCCCCCAGCCCGGGGACUAACCUCUGGAGCCUAGGUGUCGGUGCCCAGCCCCCACCCAGGCGUCUCAAUUUUUGGUGACUGUGCCCGUAGUUCAGAUGGUCCGUUCGGUUCUUGAUCGGCUUUUCCGUACUCCAACUUACUGCUACACUCUUCUCUGCAUCUGGAGAUUCCUCCAGUUUGUUUGAUAUUUCCCCCAUGUAGGUGACUUUCCAAGGUGUGGAAUCCCUUUCUCCUCCGCAGUUCCCUUUCAGGAGCGCCCGUCCCGCUCGGAUUUUCCUUCUCUCCCUCUCCUCUUUUCUCCCGUUCUGCCCAGUAAUGUCACGAACUUCUUGCCGUUAUUGGAGUUUAGGUUCUUCUGCCAGCGAUUGGUUGCUGUUCUGUGCGAGUCAUUUAUUCUGUAGAUGUGCUUUUUUUGUUGUGUUUGUGGGAGAGGGCGAGCGUGUCCCCCUACUCCUCCGCCAUCUUGUC